ACUCCUACGGGAGGCAGCAGUAGGGAAUCUUCGGCAAUGGGGGGAACCCUGACCGAGCAACGCCGCGUGAGUGAAGAAGGUUUUCGGAUCGUAAAGCUCUGUUGUUAGAGAAGAACGUGUGUGAGAGUGGAAAGUUCACACAGUGACGGUAACUAACCAGAAAGGGACGGCUAACUACGUGCCAGCAGCCGCGGUAAUA
This 199-nucleotide ribosomal RNA is filed under the name uncultured bacterium. RNAcentral's name for it is "partial 16S ribosomal RNA". It matches the Rfam family "Bacterial small subunit ribosomal RNA", at positions 335 to 525 of the family's 1533-position model. The record is from RNAcentral.